GCUUGUCUCAAAGAUUAAGCCAUGCAUGUCUAAGUACAAGCCUCAGUAAGGUGAAACCGCGAAUGGCUCAUUAAAUCACACCUAAUCUACUGGAAAGUUACUAGUUACUUGGAUAACUGAGGUAAUUCUUGAGCUAAUACAUGCAUAAAACCCUAACUUCUGGAAAGGGUGUAUUUAUUAGAUGGAAACCAAUGCGGGGUAACCCGGAAUAUGGUGAUUCAUAAUAACUUUCGGAUCGAUUUAUCGAUGCAUCAUUCAAGUUUCUGCCCUAUCAGCUUUGGAUGGUAGGGUAUUGGCCUACCAUGGCUUUAACGGGUAACGGAGAAUUAGGGUUCGAUUCCGGAGAGGGAGCCUGAGAAACGGCUACCACAUCCAAGGAAGGCAGCAGG
RNAcentral lists this ribosomal RNA (389 nucleotides) under uncultured Chrysophyceae. RNAcentral describes it as "partial small subunit ribosomal RNA". It matches the Rfam family "Eukaryotic small subunit ribosomal RNA", at positions 30 to 432 of the family's 1831-position model. Lineage: Eukaryota; Chrysophyceae. The record is from RNAcentral.